GCAGAGUAGAAAUAUGUGCGUUAAGUGCCGGCUGGACGGGGAGUUGCCAGCGGGACGAAAAGCAAUCGCUUGCGGUACAUGUUUCGCAUCCCGCUGC
This 97-nucleotide non-coding RNA is filed under the name uncultured Mediterraneibacter sp. Its description in RNAcentral is "THF riboswitch". It matches the Rfam family "THF (Tetrahydrofolate) riboswitch aptamer". Rfam says of the family: THF riboswitch presents a pseudoknot that joins P1-P2 and the loop of P3 and two THF binding. The record is from RNAcentral. Lineage: Bacteria; Bacillati; Bacillota; Clostridia; Lachnospirales; Lachnospiraceae.